This 253-nucleotide ribosomal RNA is filed under the name uncultured bacterium. RNAcentral's name for it is "partial 16S ribosomal RNA". It matches the Rfam family "Bacterial small subunit ribosomal RNA", at positions 524 to 776 of the family's 1533-position model. The record is from RNAcentral.
UACGUAGGGGGCAAGCGUUGUCCGGAUUUAUUGGGCGUAAAGAGCGUGUAGGCGGCCAGGGAGGUCCGUUGUGAAAACUGGAGGCUCAACCUCCAGCUGUCGACGGAAACCGUGUGGCUAGAGUCCGGAAGAGGAGAGUGGAAUUCCUGGUGUAGCGGUGAAAUGCGCAGAUAUCAGGAAGAACACCAAUGGCGAAGGCAGCUCUCUGGGACGGUACUGACGCUGAGACGCGAAAGCGUGGGGAGCGAACAGG